GGCCGGUUGGCCCAAUGGCAAGGCGUCUGACUACGAUUCAUCAAGUCAUCAGGAGAUUCUGGGUUCGACCCCCAGGCUGGUCA
RNAcentral lists this transfer RNA (83 nucleotides) under Colletotrichum caudatum. Its description in RNAcentral is "tRNA-Arg". It matches the Rfam family "tRNA". Rfam says of the family: Transfer RNA (tRNA) molecules are approximately 80 nucleotides in length. The record is from RNAcentral. Lineage: Eukaryota; Fungi; Ascomycota; Sordariomycetes; Glomerellales; Glomerellaceae.